UUUGCAUUUUUCCAACGGGCAGAUAGAAUCUUACAAUGAAACAACUAGAACAUUAUCAGUCCGUUGUCACUCUGAUAAUUCGACGUAUGUUGCUUACAUUUGUGAACAUAAUGGGACGUGGAGUCGAUAUGGGGAAUGUUUACCCGCGGAAAUUGAAGAUUUGCGCUUGGUGAACACGGACUACAGUUCUGCGUUGCAUGUCUACGGAACAAUUGAGAUUAAAAUAAAAAAUACUUGGGGAACUAUCUGUGCCCGCGGAUUUGAAAGCUGGGAUGCGACUGUUUUAUGCAAAAUGCUUAACGCUAGUUAUGCAGGGCAUGCUUAUUACGGUCAAGGAUCUGGUGCUAUACACAUGUCUGCCCUAAAAUGCUCGGGUUCUGAGAACAAUAUAAGUCAGUGUUCGUAUCAGACCUCACAUCAAUG
This is a long non-coding RNA of Dreissena polymorpha, 423 nucleotides long. RefSeq lists it as uncharacterized. NCBI's taxonomy places the organism in Eukaryota, Metazoa, Mollusca, Bivalvia, Myida, Dreissenidae. The record is from RefSeq and is a predicted model, not a curated record. The transcript is spliced from 3 exons.